CACAUCCGUUCCAAUCAGCAGCUGGUACCCAGCUACUCGGAGGUGUUGCUCAUGGACCUAGUCGAGCUGGGCUCGCGCUGCGGCGGGCCAGGGGGUGGCUUCGUGCCCAGGUGUCGCUACGGAGGGGUUGGUGGCCCGGGCGCGGCGGGCGUGACCCCGCACUGGCGGAGCUGCGAGCACUGUCAGCGAGCGGUCAGCAGCUCGUCCAUCUUCUCGCGCAGCGCGCUGAGUAUCUGCGCCAGCCCGCGGGCCGCCCAGGGCCCCGGAGCGAGUGCCGGGUGCGGGGGCAGCCGCUUCUCACUCAGCCGCCUCUAUGGUUCUCGGCGCAGCUGCUUGUGGCGCAGCCGGAGCGGGAGUGUCAACGAGGCGAGCUGCCCCACGGAGCAGACCCGUCUGUCGAGCCAGGCCAGCAUGCGGGACAACGAGGACGACGACGACGAGGAGGAGGCUGGGCCACCACCGCCCUACCACGACGCCCUAUGUUUCCCUGUCCUCAUUGUCCAUCGGCAGGAGGGGUGUCUGGGCCACA
Molecule: long non-coding RNA, 529 nt
Filed under: Rattus norvegicus (Norway rat)
Lineage: Eukaryota; Metazoa; Chordata; Mammalia; Rodentia; Muridae
Description: long non-coding RNA NONRATT029236
Source: RNAcentral